RNAcentral lists this ribosomal RNA (2333 nucleotides) under Candidatus Amesbacteria bacterium GW2011_GWA2_42_12. RNAcentral's name for it is "bacterial SSU rRNA". The stretch from base 1 to 1636 matches the Rfam family "Bacterial small subunit ribosomal RNA". Lineage: Bacteria; Candidatus Amesiibacteriota. The record is from RNAcentral.
UGAGAGUUUGAUCCUGGCUCAGGAUGAACGCUGGCGGAGUGCCUUAAGCAUGCAAGUGAAACGGGUACGUUCGUGCGCAAGCACCGAACGUACUAGUCGCAGACGGGUGAGUAAUACAUAGGAAUCUACCCAUUGGUGUGGAAUAACUAGCCGAAAGGCUGGCUAAUACCGCAUAAUCUCGUGUUUUGCACGAGCAAAUUCUAAACAUUAAAUUCUAAAUCUCAAAUAAAUUCUAAAUAAAAAACAUUAAAUGUUUUAAGUUUAGAUUUUGAAAUUUAUUUGGAUAUUUGGAUUUUUGAUUUUGGAUUUUCUCUUGCAGAACAUGAGUAAAGGGCGUAACUGCCCGCCGAUGGAGGAGCCUAUGUCCUAUCAGUUAGUUGGUGGGGUAAUGGCCUACCAAGACUAUGACGGGUAGCUGGACUGAGAAGUUGGUCAGCCACAAUAGCACUGAGACACGGGCUAUACAUCUACGGAUGGCAGCAACUGGGAAUAUUGCGCAAUGGACGAAAGUCUGACGCAGCGACUCCGCGUGAGGGAUGAAGGCCUUAGGGUCGUAAACCUCUUUUGACAGGGAAGUCCCGAUUUAAUCGGGAGACGGUACCUGUAGAAUAAGCACCUGCUAACCACGUGCCAGCAGCCGCGGUAAUACGUGGGGUGCAAGCGUUAUCCGGAUUUAUUGGGCGUAAAGAGUUCGUAGGUUUUUUGUUAAGUUCCGUUUGAAAUCCCGAGGCUCAACCUCGGACCCGGACGGAAAACUAGCAAAAUUGAGUUUGUCAGGGGGCACUGGAAUUGACGGUGUAGCAGUGAAAUGCGUUGAUAUCGUCAAGAACACCAAGGACGAAGGUAGGUGCCUGGGACACAACUGACACUGAGGAACGAAAGCUAGGGGAGCGAAACAGAUUAGAGACCUGUGUAGUCCUAGCCGUAAACGAUGUCCGUUUGAUCUUCGGGCGCAAGCCUGGGGGUCGGAGCUAACGCGUUAAACGGACCGCCUGGGGAGUACGGUCGCAAGACUAAAACUCAAAGGAAUUGACGGGAAAGAGCACAACCAGGGGAGCAUGUGGUUUAAUUCGAUACUAAGCGAAAGACCUUACCCAGAUUUGACAUGAUACCGUUCACCUAACUGGAAACAGAUGGGGAUCAGCAAUGAUGGUAUCACAGCUGCUGCAUGGCUAUCGUCAGCUCGUGCCGUGGGGUGUCUGCUUAAGUGCAGGAACGAGCGCAACCCCUACCCAAUGUUCAAUGGUCAUUGGGAACUGCCCCGCCUUUGCGGGGAGGAAGGAGGGGAUGAUGUUAAGUCAGCAUGGCGCUUAUAUCUGGGGCGACACACAUCCUACAAUGGGAAGGAACAAUGAGUUGCCAAACCGCAAGGUGGAGCUAAUCUCAACAAAACUUCCCUCAGUUCAGAUUGGGGGCUGCAACCCGCCCCCAUGAAGAUGGACUUGGUAGUAAUCGCGGAUCAGCAGGCCGCGGUGAAUACGUUCUCUCUUUUUGUACACACCGCCCAUCAAGCCAGCAAAGUCGGUAGUACCUGAAAUCUUGCCUCUGGCGGGACAAGGGUAAGAUCGGCGAUGAGGGCUAAGUUGUAAAUUGUUGCAACCGCCAGAAGUAAUUUUGGCGACAAAUCUCGCUGUAUCGGUGAACCCUAAGACUUAUAAUAAGUUAUGGGAAUACCGAGGGAACCCUUCGACUUCGCUCAGGGCAAGCCGUUGGGACACCGUAGAGACUACACGCGAGCGCCUUUAAUAAGUAAAAGCUAUUUAAUGGGAUUGAUUCACGACGCAACUAAACGAAAGACCACUAUCAGAAUCGCUCAGAAAAACGAAUCUUAUUUAAGAUUUAUUUCUGAAGAAAUGAAAUUAUUGGGUAUCAAUUCUUGGAUUUACAAAGAAGGUAAAACCAGAAGUGUUUGGAUUUUAGAGUUUUCUAAAAAACAUUUAGAAAACGUCAAAAUAAAAUCAAAAACAGAAAAAAUUGAUUACCUGAGAGGUUAUUUUGAUGCUGAAGGUGGUAUAGCGAAAGCUAGUUCGGUCAGAUUUUAUUUGUAUUAUUGUCAGAAAAAUUAUUCUGAGAUGGUAUUAAUUAGAAAUUGGUUGACUGAAUUUAAGAUAAAUUGUGGCAAGAUUCAUAAUCCUAGUCGGGACAGAGAUCCAGAUUUUUGGAGAUUUUACAUAUCCGCAAGUGGCUAUAGUAAAUUUGCAAAACUGAUAGGAUCUUCACAUCCUGAUAAGUGGCCAUAUUUAAGGAUGAAGAUAUAGUCCAAGCCUCACGAAAGUCGAGGAACACCUUGAACAAGGUAUCCCUAGCCGAAGCUGGGGAUGGAUCACCUCCUU